RNAcentral lists this ribosomal RNA (461 nucleotides) under uncultured Methanolinea sp. RNAcentral describes it as "bacterial SSU rRNA". It matches the Rfam family "Archaeal small subunit ribosomal RNA", at positions 878 to 1338 of the family's 1478-position model. Lineage: Archaea; Methanobacteriati; Methanobacteriota; Methanomicrobia; Methanomicrobiales; Methanoregulaceae. The record is from RNAcentral.
ACCACAACAGGUGGAGCCUGCGGUUUAAUCGGACUCAACGCCGGGAAGCUCACCGGAUAAGACAGCGGAAUGAUAGCCGGGCUGAAGACUCUGCUUGACUAGCUGAGAGGAGGUGCAUGGCCGUCGUCAGUUCGUACUGUGAAGCAUCCUGUUAAGUCAGGCAACGAGCGAGACCCACGCCAACAGUUGCCAGCAUGUCCUCCGGGAUGGUGGGGACACUGUUGGGACCGCCUCUGCUAAAGAGGAGGAAGGAAUGGGCAACGGUAGGUCAGCAUGCCCCGAAUUAUCCGGGCUACACGCGGGCUACAAUGGUCAGGACAAUGGGCAUCAACACCGAAAGGUGGAGGCAAUCUCUUAAACCUGUCCUUAGUUCGGAUUGUGGGCUGCAACUCGCCCACAUGAAGCUGGAAUCUGUAGUAAUCGCGUCUCAAAAUGGCGCGGUGAAUAUGUCCCUGCUCCUU